This 200-nucleotide unclassified non-coding RNA is filed under the name soil metagenome. RNAcentral describes it as "partial contains internal transcribed spacer 2 and large subunit ribosomal RNA". The record is from RNAcentral.
CUUGCCUUGCUUGGUUCUGAGGGAUGGGGUCGUCCUUUGGGGAGGCGCCACCCUUGAAAUCCAACGGCGGACAACCACCAGUGCGACUGCAGCGUAGUAACUCAUUCUCUCGCUAGCGGCCAUGGAGGCACUGUCCUGCCGAUCAAACCCCCACAUCAAUGGUUGACCUCGGAUCAGGUAGGGAUACCCGCUGAACUUAA